UCCAUGUGCCUAUGAUGAAGCCUGAGUUGGUAGGGGCAUCUGAGAGAUUUUCUAUACAAUGUA
This 63-nucleotide small nucleolar RNA is filed under the name Castor canadensis (American beaver). RNAcentral describes it as "Small nucleolar RNA SNORD74 (ENSCCNG00000015018.1)". The record is from RNAcentral. Lineage: Eukaryota; Metazoa; Chordata; Mammalia; Rodentia; Castoridae.